UACGGGGGGAGCAAGCGUUGUUCGGAUUUACUGGGCGUAAAGGGCGCGUAGGCGGUCAGCACAAGUCAGUUGUGAAAUCUCCGAGCUUAACUCGGAAAGGUCAACUGAUACUGUGCGACUAGAGUGCGGAAGGGGCAACUGGAAUUCUUGGUGUAGCGGUGAAAUGCGUAGAUAUCAAGAGGAACACCUGCGGCGAAGGCGGGUUGCUGGGCCGACACUGACGCUGAUGCGCGAAAGCCAGGGGAGCGAACGGG
RNAcentral lists this ribosomal RNA (254 nucleotides) under uncultured bacterium. RNAcentral describes it as "partial 16S ribosomal RNA". It matches the Rfam family "Bacterial small subunit ribosomal RNA", at positions 524 to 776 of the family's 1533-position model. The record is from RNAcentral.